UAUUAAUCAUGAAUUAUUUGUAUUAAUUAUUUUUUAUUAAUAAUAAUAUUAAUUAUUAUUUUGUUCUUAUUUUUGUUUAUUUAUUACUUUUAAAGAUUGUAACUUUUUAAUUAAUCUAUUCUAAGGCAGUCUGUUCUUGGUUGUUUAGGAGGAGAUUAAAAAACUUUGUCUCUCUUGUUCUUGAAAAUAAAAAAAUAAAAAAAUUGAAAAAGAAUAAUAAUGAUAAUAAAUCCACCUCACCCGACAGAGGUGCACCACUAAAAUGCAUUCCAUACAGAAAUGAAAUAUGAUGAAAGAAGGUAUUUUGAAGAUUUUUGGAAACCUAUUGACUUCCACUGAAUGGUCACAUGGACAUUUAUCAAAAUCUCUUUAUCUAUGUUCCACAGAAGAAACAAAUCCAUAAAGGUUUAAAAUGACAAGUAAACUAUGAAUUUUCUUGCUUGCGCAAACUAUCCUAUUGACAUGGCUAGAUUAGCUAGACACAAACCCUUCGAACACAGAAGCAUUAUCACACCGAAAGGAUGCAUUUCCUGCUGCUGUGCCACUCUGGUAACCAUGCCGACCACACAGAUGGCCAAUCCAAUCUAUUCCAAUCAGAGCAGUGGCCUUUGCCACUCUUGCAAGGAAUUAUUAAUAGCCGACAACCCCAGAGCCACAUCAAUCUCUCAGCAGAGACAUCAUCAGCUGAGCUCUCAGAAUCAUCUUGCUUGAUGAAGCUCACAUCUGUGAGACUCUCACUGGACAGCAGGCCGACUCUCCACAGUGAUGCUGUGAGGUCAUGCCUGAAAAGGCCCCUAGAUCUUGCAAACAACCUCUCUCAUCCUUACCCUGAUGGAUUGAACAAUAAGAGCAGAAGCCAUGAAUGGUGUCCACACAAAGGAGCAAGCAAUAAUUCACAUGAUCUUGGAAUCCAGUUAAUUCAUUGGUGUACAAAUGAAGCCUGCUAUGUUUUAGAUCAUAUAAGGUGCCAUGUGUCUAUUUGCUUUGAACUCAUGAUAAAUUGCUUUAUUAUGCUUGAUUUGUGCAAAGCCAAGUGACAUCAUGUGUUCUUAUUAUGUCAGAUUUAUGGCAUGGAAGUUUAAAUCCAUUGAAUGUUUUCAAAGGUCACAAUCUGAUUAAUCACCUUCACAAUUUGAUUGACACUCUAAUAUAAGAAUGGAGCUUGUGAGACUUGUUUCCAUAAAUUUAAUCUGACACAUUUAAUUUAGAUAUGUCCUCUAGACUGCACUUGCCAUGCAAUUAUGCUUUUUACAAAUGCUUCAUUGCCUUUCUUUCAUUUUUAUAUCCUUUCAGCUAUACAUAUACUCUGAUUCUACAGGGGAAUUAAAUAAUAUUUCUGCGAAUAAUUCUGUGAUUUUUAUUUUUUUUAACUCAAACUAUUUUUUUUCUCAGUGAAACAUAAUAGGAGUUGUUUUGCAGUAUGUUCACACUGCUCUUUUUCUAUUAUUUGUUAUUAUUAAAUUAUAUAUAUAUAUAUAUAUAUAUAUAUAUAUAUAUAUAUAUAUAUAUAUAUAUAUAUAUUCUUUGGAGCAAGUUAAAAUAAAAAAAUGAAUUUUUAAGUUUUUGAAUUAUUGUUAUUAUUGCCAUUUUUCAAAUUCUUGUAUAGUAUAAUGGUGGUACAAAUAUUAUUAUUUUAGUUCA
Molecule: long non-coding RNA, 1641 nt
Organism: Cyprinus carpio carpio
Lineage: Eukaryota; Metazoa; Chordata; Actinopteri; Cypriniformes; Cyprinidae
Source: Ensembl